RNAcentral lists this unclassified non-coding RNA (23 nucleotides) under Chlamydomonas reinhardtii. RNAcentral's name for it is "small RNA Cre_0036". Lineage: Eukaryota; Viridiplantae; Chlorophyta; Chlorophyceae; Chlamydomonadales; Chlamydomonadaceae. The record is from RNAcentral.
AAAGUGGAGCACCGGCCGGGUGU